UCCGAAGUAGCUCAGUGGUAGAGCAAUCGGCUGUUAACCGAUUGGUCGUAGGUUCGAGUCCUACCUUCGGAG
This is a transfer RNA of 72 nucleotides. It matches the Rfam family "tRNA". Rfam says of the family: Transfer RNA (tRNA) molecules are approximately 80 nucleotides in length. Their secondary structure includes four short double-helical elements and three loops (D, anti-codon, and T loops). The record is from Rfam.